Urocitellus parryii (Arctic ground squirrel) is the source of this 708-nucleotide long non-coding RNA. RefSeq lists it as uncharacterized. The record is from RefSeq and is a predicted model, not a curated record. Lineage: Eukaryota; Metazoa; Chordata; Mammalia; Rodentia; Sciuridae.
UAUAGAAGACAGGCCACUUACCAGCAAAUAGAGGAACAGAUUUAUUCUUCCUGCCUCCUAACAGAAACAGCCGCACCUGAACAAACUUGCAAGYUCUUUUCCCUGGCUCGGCUACCAUAAUGUGACUCUAUGAUUUCAUCCAAUAUUGAAAUGGAAGUUCCCUGAGGAUAUUCUCUGCCAGUCUUCACCAUAUCCAUCAAACCAGCCAUUCCUUUUGUCUGGAGGAGUUCUGACUAUAGAUGCAGACUGCUCAAAGGCUGCAUGUGCUGCUGGACAGGAAUAUCAGAGAACUGACAUCCCAAAGGAGCAUCCCASGAACUACCGAAGACUCUCAAGUUUUGGCAUAUAUGAUCCCCAUUCUCCUUGCUGAAUUAUGCUAAGCCUUGUGUUGGACACCAUUUCCUAUGCUCUCCUUUUAGAAGAGUAGCCCACAAUGGCAACUGGUUUCCUAAGAGAAUACAUGGAUGAAGAGUCAGCAUCCAGGGAGAUGCUUGUAUGAACUGGAUGGAACUACUUGACUGCCUUCUCUGCAGAGUAAACAGCCCAACAUGCCAGUUUGCAAAACUACAUAACCCUGUAGCUGCCUGGUGUGACCAGCAAAGUGUCCUAUGUGUACUCACAUCACAGCAUGCUGCACAAUUCAAGAAGCCCUCAGAAGAGCUGUACCUUGUGAUUACCAGAGCAAAGGCAGCUUUAGAGUCUCUAAAU